UUCCACUUCAGAAGCUUCUUAACAGCAUUCUCAGAUGUGUGAAUAUCCAUUAGUGACCCAAGGGGAUUACUCCCUGGCACCAAGUUUACCUUUACGAGAGGCCUGGACGAUGCGACUUUCCCCUCCCGGAAGCAGCCGAAAUGAUGUCUGCAUUAUUGCAUUUGAGCCAACAAUGUGA
This 178-nucleotide long non-coding RNA is filed under the name Felis catus (domestic cat). RNAcentral describes it as "lncRNA (ENSFCAG00000048341.1)". Lineage: Eukaryota; Metazoa; Chordata; Mammalia; Carnivora; Felidae. The record is from RNAcentral.